Molecule: long non-coding RNA, 532 nt
Filed under: Brassica napus (rape)
Lineage: Eukaryota; Viridiplantae; Streptophyta; Magnoliopsida; Brassicales; Brassicaceae
Description: long non-coding RNA (BNAP_LNC006349)
Source: RNAcentral
GUGUGUUUUAUGGAGAUACACGUUGAGCAAAAAAAAGGUUUUGUGAAUAUUUGCCGACACGGAUGUUGAUAGGCUUCACGGUGGAGUGUGUAACCACCGGUGUUUGUAAAACUAAUGUUUAAAACAUUAUAAAUUAAAGUAAAAUUUAUGGUACACUUUGGGAUAAAAGAGAGAUGGAGAUAACGACUGAAAGAAACUUGAGGGUUCUCCAAAGUCACUUCGUGGCAUUUCUUGUAAUUCUCUAUAUUUUUCCGAGGGGUAUUGAGGAAAUAUGAAACUAUAAACGUUUGUAAGAUUUUUUUCAUUUUACUUUAAUAAUGUAAAGACAAUGAAUAAAACGUACCAUUCGCAGCUCUUGUUCCCUUUAUAUAAAGAUAUAGAAAUGUUUUUCUUUCAUCCAACCGAGCAAAAUGUUAAUUCACACAAGAAGAAAAGUUAGACAACCUUAAACACUGAUAGAACAAUUUGCUUACCCUAAAUUAUUUAGUCCUCUUUUACUUUUUUUUUCUUUUUAGUUCAGCUCAAUUUAAUU